UACAGAGGUCCCAAGCGUUGUUCGGAUUCAUUGGGCGUAAAGGGUGCGUAGGCGGCGCGGUAAGUCGGGUGUGAAAUCUCGGAGCUUAACUCCGAAACUGCAUUCGAUACUGCCGUGCUUGAGGACUGGAGAGGAGACUGGAAUUUACGGUGUAGCGGUGAAAUGCGUAGAUAUCGGGAGGAACACCGGUGGCGAAGGCGGCGAUCUGGGUAGAUACUGACGCUGAGGUGCGAAAGCGUGGGGAGCAAACAGG
Molecule: ribosomal RNA, 253 nt
Filed under: uncultured bacterium
Lineage: Bacteria
Description: partial 16S ribosomal RNA
Rfam family: Bacterial small subunit ribosomal RNA
Source: RNAcentral